Molecule: ribosomal RNA, 425 nt
Filed under: uncultured bacterium
Lineage: Bacteria
Description: partial 16S ribosomal RNA
Rfam family: Bacterial small subunit ribosomal RNA
Source: RNAcentral
GUGGGGAAUAUUGGACAAUGGGCGAAAGCCUGAUCCAGCAAUGCCGCGUGAGUGAUGAAGGCCUUAGGGUUGUAAAGCUCUUUUACCAGGGAUGAUAAUGACAGUACCUGGAGAAUAAGCUCCGGCUAACUCCGUGCCAGCAGCCGCGGUAAUACGGAGGGAGCUAGCGUUGUUCGGAAUUACUGGGCGUAAAGCGCGCGUAGGCGGUUUAUCAAGUCAGGGGUGAAAUCCCGGGGCUCAACCCCGGAACUGCCCUUGAAACUGGUUCACUAGAAUCCUGGAGAGGCGAGUGGAAUUCCGAGUGUAGAGGUGAAAUUCGUAGAUAUUCGGAAGAACACCAGUGGCGAAGGCGACUCGCUGGACAGGUAUUGACGCUGAGGUGCGAAAGCGUGGGGAGCAAACAGGAUUAGAUACCCGUGUAGUCC